GAUGAACGCUGGCGGCGUGCCUAAUACAUGCAAGUCGAGCGAAUGAAGAGGAGCUUGCUCCUCUGAUUUAGCGGCGGACGGGUGAGUAACACGUGGGUAAUCUGCCUGUAAGACGGGGAUAACUCCGGGAAACCGGGGCUAAUACCGGAUAAUAAAAAGAAACGCAUGUUUCUUUUUUGAAAGUUGGUUUCGGCUAACACUUACAGAUGAGCCCGCGGCGCAUUAGCUAGUUGGUGAGGUAACGGCUCACCAAGGCGACGAUGCGUAGCCGACCUGAGGGGGUGAUCGGCCACACUGGGACUGAGACACGGCCCAGACUCCUACGGGAGGCAGCAGUAGGGAAUCUUCGGCAAUGGGCGAAAGCCUGACCGAGCAACGCCGCGUGAGCGAUGAAGGCCUUCGGGUCGUAAAGCUCUGUUGUUAGGGAAGAACACGUACGAGAGUAACUGCUCGUACCUUGACGGUACCUAACCAGAAAGCCACGGCUAACUACGUGCCAGCAGCCGCGGUAA
This 512-nucleotide ribosomal RNA is filed under the name uncultured bacterium. RNAcentral's name for it is "partial 16S ribosomal RNA". It matches the Rfam family "Bacterial small subunit ribosomal RNA", at positions 28 to 523 of the family's 1533-position model. The record is from RNAcentral.